GAUGAAGAACGUAGUGAAAUGCGAUAAGUAAUGUGAAUUGCAGAAUUCAGUGAAUCAUCGAAUCUUUGAACGCACAUUGCGCCCUCUGGUAUUCCGGGGGGCAUGCCUGUUCGAGCGUCAUUAUAACCACUCAAGCUCUCGCUUGGUAUUGGGGUUCGCGGUUUCGCGGCCCCUAAAAUCAGUGGCGGUGCCUGUCGGCUCUACGCGUAGUAAUACUUCUCGCGAUUGAGUUCGAUAGGUCUACUUGCCAGUAACCCCCAAUUUUUACAGGUUGACCUCGGAUCAGGUAGGGAUAACCGCUGAACUUAAGCAUAUCAAUAAGCGGAGGA
This 329-nucleotide unclassified non-coding RNA is filed under the name soil metagenome. RNAcentral describes it as "partial contains 5.8S ribosomal RNA, internal transcribed spacer 2, and large subunit ribosomal RNA". The stretch from base 1 to 120 matches the Rfam family "5.8S ribosomal RNA", at positions 35 to 154 of the family's 154-position model. The record is from RNAcentral.